Molecule: ribosomal RNA, 303 nt
Filed under: Triticum aestivum (bread wheat)
Lineage: Eukaryota; Viridiplantae; Streptophyta; Magnoliopsida; Poales; Poaceae
Description: partial small subunit ribosomal RNA
Source: RNAcentral
AUGGAAUUUCAUCUGCAAGCUUUUGAUCCUAAUGGCUACAUCCUUAUAAAGCUAUUUCUUGUUUGUAAGAUGAAUAUUGUCUAUGUCAAGACUCAAGACUCAAGAGAAGCAAGAGUGCAUAGGAGUGGCAGUUGUUCAACCAAGGAUGGUCAGAGGGUAUUACAAGGAGCGAGAGAGAUACAUGGAAGGAGAGAUUACGUAGCAAGGCACAGGGCACACAGGACGCAAAGUGUCACAUAUGGGCUACCGGGCGAAAACAGUCGACCCAAGCAAGGCCCUCGUGGCAGUGGUCAGCACGUUUAG